RNAcentral lists this long non-coding RNA (648 nucleotides) under Danio rerio (zebrafish). RNAcentral's name for it is "si:ch211-153i8.1 (ENSDARG00000094301.2)". Lineage: Eukaryota; Metazoa; Chordata; Actinopteri; Cypriniformes; Danionidae. The record is from RNAcentral.
GUCCACUUGGGCUAAAAGCCGGUGUUGGGUUGCAUCGCAGAAGCAUCUGCCUAAUAGAUAUUGCAGAGACCGAACACACAAAUGGGUUUCUCUUAGGAUAGUGUGUGCUGUAUCACUAUACACCGCUCACAGUUUCCUGCCAUUGAUCAAGCCCCACCUAUUCAGCUGAUGGGCCAGAGGAGAAACCCGAUCACCUAACAAGAGAGAAGCAGAGGAGAGAGGAAGGAGAAAAUGAGAGAACUGUGUGGACUAAUGAGAGACUCCAACCAGCACAUCCAUCUUGCGUCCUCAAAGAGACUGGAGAGUUGAAAGUGCUUGAGCUCAACACUGCUGUUUUCUCUGUGGGCUCCAGCUGCCGGUGUGAGUGACCAGCGGCAGCUCUAGAAAGGCUUGUGAGAUUGUGCAGGAAACAGAGGAAACUGAAGAAAGAGAUACAGAUGCGGACGUUCACCCACCAUCCUCCCCACCACCAGCAGGUUGGCCCUGUCCAGGGUGGAAGGCUCCGCCCCUGCCCUCUUCCUUGGCAGUCAUAGCUGAAUCUACAAACUUUUGAUUCAAGCCACAGACAGGACCUCCACCAAAGAAAUCUUGUUUUUUUUAAUCAUAUUUUGUCAAACAUUAGUCAUCAAAUAAAUGUAAUUUAACAUC